This 950-nucleotide ribosomal RNA is filed under the name Kocuria rhizophila. RNAcentral's name for it is "bacterial SSU rRNA". It matches the Rfam family "Bacterial small subunit ribosomal RNA", at positions 530 to 1475 of the family's 1533-position model. The record is from RNAcentral. Lineage: Bacteria; Bacillati; Actinomycetota; Actinomycetes; Micrococcales; Micrococcaceae.
GGGAGCACGUUGGUCCGGAAUUAUUGGGCGUAAGAGCUCGUAGGCGGUUUGUCGCGUCUGCUGUGAAAGCCCGGGGCUUAACCCCGGGUGUGCAGUGGGUACGGGCAGACUUGAGUGCAGUAGGGGAGACUGGAAUUCCUGGUGUAGCGGUGAAAUGCGCAGAUAUCAGGAGGAACACCGAUGGCGAAGGCAGGUCUCUGGGCUGUUACUGACGCUGAGGAGCGAAAGCAUGGGGAGCGAACAGGAUUAGAUACCCUGGUAGUCCAUGCCGUAAACGUUGGGCACUAGGUGUGGGGAACAUUCCACGUUUUCCGCGCCGUAGCUAACGCAUUAAGUGCCCCGCCUGGGGAGUACGGCCGCAAGGCUAAAACUCAAAGGAAUUGACGGGGGCCCGCACAAGCGGCGGAGCAUGCGGAUUAAUUCGAUGCAACGCGAAGAACCUUACCAAGGCUUGACAUACACCGGACCGGGCCAGAGAUGGUCUUUCCCCCUUGUGGGGCUGGUGUACAGGUGGUGCAUGGUUGUCGUCAGCUCGUGUCGUGAGAUGUUGGGUUAAGUCCCGCAACGAGCGCAACCCUCGUUCUAUGUUGCCAGCACGUGAUGGUGGGGACUCAUAGGAGACUGCCGGGGUCAACUCGGAGGAAGGUGGGGAUGACGUCAAAUCAUCAUGCCCCUUAUGUCUUGGGCUUCACGCAUGCUACAAUGGCCAGUACAAUGGGUUGCGAUGCCGCGAGGUGGAGCUAAUCCCAAAAAGCUGGUCUCAGUUCGGAUCGUGGUCUGCAACUCGACCACGUGAAGUCGGAGUCGCUAGUAAUCGCAGAUCAGCAACGCUGCGGUGAAUACGUUCCCGGGCCUUGUACACACCGCCCGUCAAGUCACGAAAGUUGGUAACACCCGAAGCCGGUGGCCUAACCCUUGUGGGGGGAGCCGUCGAAGGUGGGACUGGCGAU